UAGAAACAAGUUUUUUAUUUAAAAUUCAUUGUUAAAAAGCAUAAGAGAUAUUUCCUCACCUUAAUGAAAUAAAUAAAAAGUAUUUCAACACUAUCGUUCCCCCCAUUUUCAUUUUUUGGGUGAAUUUCAAAAACUUGGCGCUGCUCACGAAAAAAAUAACACAAAGAGCUAAAAACCCUAGACUGAUUCAAUUCUUUACUCUUAACCGCUUCUCCUUCCCAAAAUCUCUAUAUUGAUCUUCUCCUUCCCCGCGCUACACUUCUCCCCCCCUGUUCUUCUCCAUCUCUACGAUGAUCUUCUCUCCUAAUUGUCUCGGUCGGACUUCGAGGUUUCCUUAUACAGUUUGUUGGCGUUUCUUAUGGGGAGGCAAUUAGGAUAUCCCUAUAAUUCAAACUCGUUUCUAGAAGAGUAGUUUCUUUCAAAGGGGUACUCGUGAUUACUGUCUAAUAGAUCAGUUACUAAGCUAUGGAUUUCAGGAAAUAGCCAAGCUCAAAUUGGAGAUUAUGUGUAUGCCCACGGAAUAAGUGCAGCAAUAGAUUCAAACAAGUUUAAGAUUCAAACAAGUUUAAGACUAUCACAUAAAUUGAGGGUGCCAACUAGAGGAAAUUGUUAAUGCACGUGGCUGAAGUGGUUAUUGGAGUGAUCUUUUGGGCACCUAGUGAUGUUGAUCAUCUGAUGCUUAGGAAGCACGAGGACCCGAUAAACAAUCAACACUCGUCACAUAAGUGAGAGAGAGCUGAAGGUAAAAGGAUUUCGCCAGUGCUUGUAAUGCAUCGUUAACGAUGCUGCUCCCAUAUUCUUGGGACAAUACACCGGUGGCUUCAAGUUUUUCUUCCAUGUACUUGAUUAUUUUUUCCUUUUUCUCAAGUUAACUUUCAAAUCAGGAAAACUUGCAACAACAGAGCUAGAGGAAAAACCGACAAAGCUGAUGAAACAACAAAUGUUAUGAAGAAAAUUCAAGGAAAUUAACGUUCUAUUUCUAUCUCAAAGAGAAGUUCUUCGUUUCGAUGAAUGUUGGAUCGUUCUCAUCAUCUACAAACUCAUUCUCUGAUUAUUGUUAGCCCGUUGCAUUGCUUGAUGUUUUGUUGGAAACUAGAUUAGCAAGUGCACAUUUUACUCGUGAAAAACGAGUUUGAUAUAUAUUAGAUGAAUUACUAGGUACAUAUUUGGGUAUAUGUUUAGAACGUGUUUAUAGGGCACAUAUUUUGGAUAUGUAUAGCUUCUUUCAGGUAGACUUUGAUUUUGAUUUUAUAUAAUUAUAUGGAAAGGUAAUCUAAUGUGUAGGCUUUGGAUUGAUCUUCAAUAAAAAGGUUACUUUGUACGGA
Long non-coding RNA from Spinacia oleracea (spinach), 1325 nucleotides. RefSeq lists it as uncharacterized. NCBI's taxonomy places the organism in Eukaryota, Viridiplantae, Streptophyta, Magnoliopsida, Caryophyllales, Amaranthaceae. The transcript has 4 exons. The record is from RefSeq and is a predicted model, not a curated record.